UCCUCCGCCGCCGCCGCCGCCCGUCGCCGCUACUGCUCCUGCCGCCGCCGCCGCUCCAACCCCCUCCGCAGCCACCAGCAGCAGCCGGCCGCUCUCGCGAGAUCUGUGGAGGAGACAGAAAGAGAGAGAGCGGCUAACAUGGCAGAGGGGGAAGCGCGCGACUGGGCAGAGGAACGGGGAGAGGAGGAGAGCGCGAGAGCGCGAGGACCAAGAGAGGUGCCCGGGGAUCGGAGACGGCAGCGCCUCGCCGGAAGUCUGCAUGUGCCUCAGGUCUGUCUGCGGACCCAAACAGGACAGAAAAAGAAGCUCCCCCUGCGUCCUCCUCAUCCCGCCUCUUGGCCCAUUAAGUAGACCCUUCCGUCGCCCGCCGUCCCCAAGGAGGAAUUGCACCCGCGCCCUUCGCCUGUCUGCAGGAGGCGAAGUGUUCAAGCGAAGAGAGAGCCCGGAAUAGUCCGCACCUCGCAAGAGGCAACCGACGAUCCCACUACCUCUUCCUUGACGCCAACUCAACCCUUUGAAAGUAUAAAUCAAUGCCACCCAACUCCGACGUGUCGGGGUCAUUCCUACAUAUGACAGCUCAUUCCUUUUGAAAUUCGCACCAUUUUCCCCGUCUGAAGCUCCCCAAUUGAAAACUGCAUGACUUCAAAGGCCAGCUUCUAGGAUGCUUUCCAGGGCUUCAUAAUAGAGCAACCUUUACCUUCAGGAUUACAUUGUUAUACAAAGAAUUUAGAAAAUGUCCCUCUCAGCUCUUAAGAGCUUUGGUAGGCCUGCUGGCCUGUCAAACUCUAAAACCUUCCCAGGUACCUUACCUUGCAAAAUGGGGAAAGAGCCUGUGCUUACUUGCCUUACUGAAUGCAUGAGUUUGGAGGGAUCUUUCUUUUUGAGGAAGGCCGUUUUGUGUGCAAAUCAUACUGUCCUCCCAGCAGAGGGUCCAAGCAGUUUCCAGAACAGAAUAGCCUUUCCGGAUUAAAUCAAAGAUCCAUUCUCUCCUGCUACUUUUCUCAAAGUGAUCUGCAGUGCUCUCGUCAAAAGUUGAACAGUAAAGGGUGUUGAGUUAGAUGGGAGUUCAGCCUAGCCUAAUCCUUAGAUGUUUACUGCCUGAAAUGUGAAAGCAACCAAUCUUCAGUUACAGUAAAGUCUUGCUGCUCAUAAUAUUACAAUUUCUAAAUAAUUUUUUUUCCAAGCUAAAUCCUGGAACUUAUUUAGCUUUUCUUAAUAGGGAAUUUUACCUUACUUCUUCAGUUGUGCUCAAGUUCAGGGCUAAAAUGAACACAGCCUCUAUGAAACACGGUGAAGAAAUAAAGAAACUAAUGACCUGAAACCAGAAUGCCCGCAGUAAAAUGGAAUAGAUUGUAUGCAUCAAAGCAUCUUUACUGGGGAAAUUGCAAUUUUUAUUAACUUGAGGCAGAAAAAUGCCACAAUCUUUGCUAUUUUGCACUUUAUGAUACAAUAUAUUAUUGAGGAUAUAAGCCGCAUAAUAGUUCUGUGUGCAUAUCCACAAUAGUUCUGAGUGCAUCUUGAAAGACAAGUUUCUUUUCCUGUGACUAGACACCAGAACCAGUUCAUUGAAACAAAAGCAGUACCACUGGAACAACACACAGGCUUUCCAGGCCUUGCUUUCCUUUUUCCUUCUCCUAGAUUUUUUCUCUGCCAUGAGAAAGUUUGAGAGGCAAUCUCAGCCAAGUCAGCCUUUGAUUUAGUAUCUACAAACUGCAUAUUCUAAACGGUCCAUGCUGGAGAGCACCCAUUUUCAUCAAGGAUAACUCUAAGUAUUUGGAAGCUGCACUACUACUAGAAAACAAAGAAAACGAAUACCCAAAAUCGUCUUUCCAAACGGUUUUAAGAGUAACCAACAGACUAUUUCUCACGGGCAUUCGACUCCUGGAAGGUUGAAAGCUGGCAUCUGCUAGGUCCAAAACUAGAGGGAAACGCUAACUCUAGCGCCUCAAUAGUUCGGACUCAGGCCGUCCUUGCAACUCCGACGAUGCACAAUGUCUUCCUACCCUGCGGUUCGCUCCCGGGUUCAGCUGCGGUGGAAGAACGAUUCCUGGAGUUUGCGCUAUAACCUGACAUCCAGGAACGCAGUGAAAGUCGCGGGCUGCGCUAAACUAACUCGCCCAUUCCCUCCUGGAGCUGGGCGGCGUGACCCGCCUGAGCGGAAGGGCUUUUUACCCGCGAGGAUCAUGCUGAGAGUGGGGAGAGCUGUCUUACGAGCAAGCCGGGAAGAAGCUGAGAUCCACCCGGGAGGUCCCUUCCUCCUAUAUUGCUACGCAUUCCCCGCAAGGAAAACCCGGAACGUCGUCUUAUCGGUAGCACCUCCAGCAAUGUCACCUAAAGGUGGGCUGGGCAGGUUUGACUGGCUAUCUUUAUCACCGAAAAUUUAUCUGUUGAAAUAGGUUGGAUACUUAACGCUUCUUUAUUUUUUAGCUAUCAAGAUAUAUUCUCCAUUUACAAUAAUCAGUUAACUAGCAAACCAAGCCGCACUGCCUUUCUCUGUAAGGCAAUGUGGAAAGGCAUUUAAAAACAGGUCCGGUUAAGCUUAGAUAUAUUAAGAUACAGAUGCUAACCUCUCAGACUACCUAAUUACCAAAUUACCUUUGAUAACCAAGGAGGCAACAGAUUAUAAAAUCCCGCUUGGGCUGGGAAAGAACCAUUACUGAACUAGGAAGGCAGGCAGCUCGUUUUUAAAAUCUACGGUAUUAAAGUUCCCAAUAAUUAUACAAUAAAAAUUAAGAAAUAUUCUAUUGGCAAUUUGGCAAAUAUAACUAUCUUGGAUGGAUGAAAUUUAUUUUUUAUGCAUAUUACACCUGUUCUAAAAAUAUAUUUCAACGGAUACCCAAUAUAUAAUGGUAUUCUGACAGGUAUUUUGAUUCUAAUAAAUACUAGUCUACAUAAGUUAUGUAAAUUUAGUUUUUUUUUUUUUCAGAAAUAGAAUUCCAUUUUAACAGCCUGGCUUAAAAAGUUUAUUUCUCAUAAGAAGUUGAAUCCCAGAUUGUGAGCAUGACAACAGAUAAUUGUAUAAACCAAAUAAAGAACUACUUCAAAUAUUUUCCACUACUAAAAGCAUAAAGACUUUUCAGAUUUAAGAUGUGCUGCAUAAUAUAAAAUAGUAUAUGCUUCAUAAAAUAAAAUAGUUAAAACUAUUUGAAAUACUUUUAAAAUACAAUACAAAUAUUUGUUUAGAAAGCAUUUGAUUGUAUAUAUUAUUUAGCUUUUUCAGUUUGUUCAACAAAGUGCCAAAAUUAUUGUUUUAUGAUGAUAUUCAGUCUUGUCUAAACUGAGGUCUGUAUUUUAGAACAAAAUGGACAGUUAUUAUCCUAUAAUUCCUUGCUAACAAUUUAUUUUAAAAAAUCAAUGAAUUUAAUAUGACCAGAAACAACUAUUUAUUCUGAUAUACAUUUUCUAACUCCUAUCUCUUCUAUGAAAAAAGUAAUGAAAAAUAUUUCAACCACACAAAGUUUCUUUUGUUUUUUGUUAAAUAAGCAUUAAAAAUAGUUAUUAAUUUAAUUGCAAAAGUUCUAGCUUUAUUCUUAAAAAAGGGAAUGUAAAUAGUAAGUCACAUACACAAGGGAUGUGAUAUAUUUAACAAAUAAAACAAAAUGUAGGGUAAUAAAACUUCAUCACAUAACCUUAAUCACAAUCUUUUGUCAUCAUUGGUAUCUAAAUAUGACUUCAAUUACUAAGAACAUUUUUAAAUUAAUAAAAACAAAACAUUACUAUAAAGACAUAUGUUUAUAACAACCUAACUCAUUUAUUUGGAGAUUGCUUACUAUCUUAAAACAUGGUCUCACAAACAUUUUGAAGCUUCAAUAAAAUUGAGGAAUUUUAUUUUUCCUUCUUAAAGGAAGUUUGUUCGAUUGUGGCUCUGCAGAAAUUAAAAUAAAGCAUUCAUAAAACACCCAUAUCCAAAGUGAAAAUGAGAUCAACUUUAAUAUAUAAUUAUAACUUAGUUCUAUACAUAGUAUACAAUCUUACUUUUGCCACAAUAAACUAACAAUCAAAGUGCAGUUUUAAAAACAGGAAGCCUGUAUGAUAUUGAACCAUUCCUAAAAUGUUAUAGAAAGUUGUACAACAUUAAAUUGCUAAAGCCUUAAAAUGUAUGUAUGUAAUAUGCAUGGCUUCUAAAAUUUUAGAAAUCUCUGGCAUUGAUACCAUACAUUGUAAAAAUAUUAAGUGUAUAAUUAUUUCCAAUGUAGUUAGAUUCUACAGAUGAAUUUAAAUGGAUAUUUCAGACCCCAUAAGAAAAAGAGUUAAAAUAGAAAUUUGAAGCCACUGCAGAGGAUUAAAAUUUCUGAAGUAUUAUAAUAUAAAGCAUUUCAUUUUAUUCAAAUUAAACUGUUUAUUUCUUUGUAAAAGCAAUUUUUAAAGAUGUAUUUUUGUCAAAACCUCAAAAUGUUGUUUCUUGUUGGCUAUUAACAUUUCUAUUAAUCUUUUGAUAUAAUUACAGAUGGAGGUAAUAUAUCUGAUCAUAUUACUCAUUUAUUAUUAACUAUAUUUGCAACAAGCAUGUUUAUAUUGAAAUGAAAAAAAUAAAAUAAAAAAAACCUCUCCUUUUUACCUGUAAUAUUCAGAACAAGUUUAGAAAAAGCAAGAGAUUUCCCUGCACUUUUAAAGCACAGAAACCAAUAAUCAAGUUUGGGAUUAUGCCAUUUAUGAUAAGGGUAUUUUUACCCCUGGUAAUUUUCCUUUUUAUCAUGCUGUAUCUGAAAAAGUUUAAUAUUUCAGAGAUAUGAUUGUAUUAUUUCAUAUAUGAAUAGAAGCUACCUUAAAAUAUCACAAAUUGGCAAGAAUGCAUUUUCCUAACCUUCAAAAUGCCAAUAACUUAAAAAUUUUAGCAAUAUUUAUUUAGCUGGCACCAUUUAUCACAAAUAAAAUUUAAUUAUGAUAAAAUGACUCAAUCAUAUUA
Pseudonaja textilis is the source of this 4906-nucleotide non-coding RNA. NCBI's taxonomy places the organism in Eukaryota, Metazoa, Chordata, Lepidosauria, Squamata, Elapidae. The record is from RefSeq and is a predicted model, not a curated record.